ACCAGAAAGUCGAAAAUCCUUCAGUCUCAAAGUACUGAUACACACAUACUGACACAGCACAUAAAGCCAGGUAGCAAACACACCCACAAACUUCUCUAAAAUGGCCAUGAGAGGAACUAAUGGGUUGGUUUAGGUUUGACCUCCAAGAAGUGGUGGCAAUCUUGCUGCACUUACUCAUAGCAUCCACAGGGUGGCAGUGUGGGCCAGGAUUUGUAAUAAAAUGGGGAGUGGCACUUUCAUAUAAAGAAAAGACAGCCGAUCACCUGCAGAGGUUUCAGUGACACUGUACUUGGAUUGCUAAACUGCCCUGGGAGUGUACUGGCAUACUGGUAGCUCCAUUUAAGAAGAAACAGAUCAUAUAAAGCCAAUGUCAUACUGGGACAGCAGCCAAACAGACCAUGAAAAUCAUUGGCAGAUGAUAAUGAAGCCUGAGGAGAAAGCAGUGGACUGGUGUGUUUGCUUAAAGUCAGUGUGAAAUCAGAAUCUUUAAUCUUCAAGCUCGAUUUAAAGAAAAGUAAUCUUUUGUAAAAAAUGCAACCAUUCAGUUUACAAAGUAAUU
Paramisgurnus dabryanus is the source of this 559-nucleotide long non-coding RNA. RefSeq lists it as uncharacterized. The record is from RefSeq and is a predicted model, not a curated record. NCBI's taxonomy places the organism in Eukaryota, Metazoa, Chordata, Actinopteri, Cypriniformes, Cobitidae.